This is a long non-coding RNA of Contarinia nasturtii (swede midge), 344 nucleotides long. RefSeq lists it as uncharacterized. The record is from RefSeq and is a predicted model, not a curated record. Lineage: Eukaryota; Metazoa; Arthropoda; Insecta; Diptera; Cecidomyiidae. The transcript has 3 exons.
UAACAAAAAAAAAACUCCACAAUUUAGUCGCAAUCAUCAUGUAACAUCACAUAUUAAAUCGAACAUUCAAAUAAACAAGCGCACUAUUAACACUGAACAUCAAUCGGUAUUAAUUCACAACACUGUAAAGUGAGUGUGAUAGAUAAAUACUGGACUCAAAAACCACAUACACCGACACGAAAAUUGUUCGCUUUGUAUAUAAUAGACAACUUGACCAAAUGUUGGCCUUUCAUAACGAACAUAUUUCAAGCUGCGCGUUUUUGACGUACUUCCAGACGCGGGACAACCCAGAAAGUGCAGCAAUCGCUCAGAGUGUGUUGCAUGAAAAACAGACAUUACCAGGG